GAUGAACGCUGGCGGCGUGCCUAAUACAUGCAAGUCGAGCGAACGGACGAGAAGCUUUCUUCUCUGAUGUUAGCGGCGGACGGGUGAGUAACACGUGGAUAACCUACCUAUAAGACUGGGAUAACUUCGGGAAACCGGAGCUAAUACCGGAUAAUAUUUUGAACCGCAUGGUUCAAAAGUGAAAGACGGUCUUGCUGUCACUUAUAGAUGGAUCCGCGCUGCAUUAGCUAGUUGGUAAGGUAACGGCUUACCAAGGCAACGAUGCAUAGCCGACCUGAGAGGGUGAUCGGCCACACUGAAACUGAGACACGGUCCAGACUCCUACGGGAGGCAGCAGUAGGGAAGCUUCCGCAAUGGGCGAAAGCCUGACGGAGCAGCGCCGCGUGAGUGAUGAAGGUCGUCGGAUCGUAAGACUCUGUUAUUAGGGAAGAACAUAUGUGUAAGUAACUGUGCACAUCUUGACGGUACCUAAUCAGAAAGCCACGGCUAACUUCGUG
RNAcentral lists this ribosomal RNA (497 nucleotides) under uncultured bacterium. RNAcentral describes it as "partial 16S ribosomal RNA". It matches the Rfam family "Bacterial small subunit ribosomal RNA", at positions 28 to 507 of the family's 1533-position model. The record is from RNAcentral.